RNA transcript from Xenopus laevis (African clawed frog), 2593 nucleotides. It is a transcript of the gene named cytochrome b561 L homeolog, with no coding region annotated. The transcript has 7 exons. The record is from RefSeq and is a predicted model, not a curated record. Lineage: Eukaryota; Metazoa; Chordata; Amphibia; Anura; Pipidae.
CUCCCCGCCCCCCCCCCGCAGGUCCCUGUGUGUGUGACAUGGACAGGGAGGGACAGUGGGACUGGAGCUGCCGGACACACAGGGAAUGAUACAAACCCAGCGCUGACUUCAUAGACUCGGGGUCGGACACAGACUCUUAUUAUUCUUCCUAUUGGGCAGAAUCUAACCUCCGACUUCGACCUCAGCCAUGGAGAAUGCACUCAGCAGUCAGAACCUCGGCUUCAUGCCGUACCUGGUGGCAGGGUCUCAGAUCCUGGGGAUUGCCAUUUUGGCUAUAACCGGAGCAUGGCUGGCACAAUACAGAGGCGGUUUCUCCUGGAGCGGGCCCCUUCAGUUUAAUGUUCAUCCACUGUGCAUGGUCCUGGGUAUGGUGUUCCUGUGUGGAGAAGCUCUCUUAGUGUAUCGAGUAUUCAGACAUGAGACAAAGAGAUCAACCAAAAUCUUGCAUGGAGUCUUGCACAUCAUGGCACUGGUCAUCUCACUCGUAGGGAUCAUCGCUGUAUUCCAGUACCACCAAGCCAAUGGGUAUCCAGAUAUGUACAGUUUGCAUAGCUGGUGUGGAAUAGUCACCUUCACUUUGUACAUCCUGCAGUGGAUUAUUGGAUUCAGCCUGUUCUUUAUACCCGGUGUGGCCUUCACUUACAGGAGCCAAUUUAAGCCUCUGCAUGAAUUCUUUGGCCGUGCCUUGUUCCUGAGCUCAAUCGCUACCAGUCUCCUGGGUCUCACCGAAAAAAUGUUUUCGGAAUACUCAAGUCACCCAGCAGAGGGCAUCCUGGUGAAUUCUCUAGGGGUGCUGCUGGUGGUAUUCGGGGCAGUUAUAGCCUAUAUCCUGACUCGUGAGGACUGGAGGCGCCCACCUCUCCCGGAGGAGCAGGCCCUUUCUAUGGACUUUAAGACCCUCACGGAAGGAGACAGCCCGACUGAUCAGUGAGUAGUCUCCGAUAUACUCACACUGAAGCUUUCUACUGAUGGAAACCAAUGACGCUGCUUGUGAUUGUAACUUAUGUACAACUGGGACCCUCACUCUCCCCUGUUACACACCGGGACAACCAUGAGACAAAGCAACAUUUACACAGACACAGCCCUGAAAAUACUGUUGUGCCCACACCUACCUAUACUUGCCAACCUGUGCCCACUUUUUCAUCAGUCCCUAAAAACAAAACCCUGAAGAAGUUGCACAUAAUGUUACUGUUAUUGGAAAUGGACAUUUGCUUGCCAAGGCCUCUGAUCCUAGUCUCCAGAACACAGUUUUAAAGGCCAGGAUGGAAAAAGAAAGGUAAUUCGGUAAAAGCACACUAUAAAAAAUGAUCUUUAAAGGAUAAGUAUACCUUUGAAAUUGAUGAGGGUGAUAUUCUAAGCACUUUUCCAAUGUACAUUCCAAAAUAUUAAAGGGCAUGUAAAGGCAAAAAAAUAAAAUGCCAUUUUUAAUUUCUUUAAUGAAUAUCAAGUAUAGGUAAAUCUAAAAUGAAAUGAAAAAGAAUGACAAAGAAACCUAUCUCCAAUAUACUUUAAUUAAAAAAUGUGUACCGUUUUUAUAAGAAACCUGACGGUAUUCAGUGAAAUUCUCCCUUCAUUUACUGCUGUGGAUAGGAAUUGUCAGACGGUCCCUAACUGCUCUGCAGGGAAACAAUCAUACUUAUGAACAGUUUGUUUCCCUGUAGAGCAGUCGGUGACUUUACUUCGCCUUUACAUCCCCUUUACUGUUUCCAACUCCAGCUGCAGGGACAAAGAUCAUGGAGCCAGAUUUAAACAGAUAAACUGGGAUUCUAUUUGGAGGAUUAUUUUGCUGCAGCCACUGGUUCUGCAGAGUAAGAGAAAGUUUGUAUUAAACAAUACAAAAACUAUAAAAUCCACAUUAGAUUACAUGACAACACAGGACCCAGUGCAGUCUGUAUAUUCUGAUUAUUAAUCAGUCUUGUGUAUCGGCUUAUGGCAGAUAUUAUUUGACUUUGAUCAUUUAUGACGAUCCCUAAACAGCCCAGACCACACUGAGCAUGUGCACAGUCUUGGUCUUGCAAAGAUGUAUAACAAAGUUACAAGAUGGCGACCCCCUGUGGCCAACUUUGAAAGCAUAAAUUAUUUGUUUGAUAAGGUUUGUGGUGCAGUAAGUUCAUGUUUAUGUUUAAUAUACAAAAUACAGCAUUUCUAGCCUUAUUCUAUUUUAGACUUGUUGUAACAAUACAUGUAUCCUUUAAUAUCUUAGAAUGAAAAAUAAAUAUUGAAAGUACAUUACAAAAGUGCUUAGAAUAGCCCCCUCAUCAAUUUUACAUUUACUUAUUUUAAAGGGAACAUACCUCAAAUUAUUUUCUCUUUCCCAUAUUGCACAGUGCUGGCUUUACACACUUUGGUUUAGCUUUACUAAAGGGUAAAUAUCCAUAUUUAUUGCAAGUGUAAUCCUGACCUGUCACCUGACGUAUUCAAGGGAACUCUGGUGUGUUCGGCCCAUCUGCCUUUAGUAAAUUAGGGGCCAUAUCUGCAUCCCCCCAGUCUGAACAUCAUCAUGGACCGAUCCCCAGCUUUUGUGAGUGUCCACUUUUAGGAUAUGUGCCAAUUGUGUCCAUUCAAUUAUUGUGCUAAUAAAUGUUCAACGUGC